CGAAUCGUAGACGUACGACUAAAAAUCCGUCGACUUUAGAAAUCGUGAGGGUUCAAGUCCCUCUAUCCCCA
This 71-nucleotide transfer RNA is filed under the name Citrus macrosperma. RNAcentral describes it as "partial tRNA-Leu". Lineage: Eukaryota; Viridiplantae; Streptophyta; Magnoliopsida; Sapindales; Rutaceae. The record is from RNAcentral.